RNAcentral lists this ribosomal RNA (832 nucleotides) under bacterium. RNAcentral's name for it is "bacterial SSU rRNA". It matches the Rfam family "Bacterial small subunit ribosomal RNA", at positions 61 to 873 of the family's 1533-position model. The record is from RNAcentral.
GUCGAGCGGACCGACGGGAGCUUGCUCCCUUAGGUCAGCGGCGGACGGGUGAGUAACACGUGGGUAACCUGCCUGUAAGACUGGGAUAACUCCGGGAAACCGGGGCUAAUACCGGAUGCUUGAUUGAACCGCAUGGUUCAAUCAUAAAAGGUGGCUUUUAGCUACCACUUACAGAUGGACCCGCGGCGCAUUAGCUAGUUGGUGAGGUAACGGCUCACCAAGGCGACGAUGCGUAGCCGACCUGAGAGGGUGAUCGGCCACACUGGGACUGAGACACGGCCCAGACUCCUACGGGAGGCAGCAGUAGGGAAUCUUCCGCAAUGGACGAAAGUCUGACGGAGCAACGCCGCGUGAGUGAUGAAGGUUUUCGGAUCGUAAAACUCUGUUGUUAGGGAAGAACAAGUACCGUUCGAAUAGGGCGGUACCUUGACGGUACCUAACCAGAAAGCCACGGCUAACUACGUGCCAGCAGCCGCGGUAAUACGUAGGUGGCAAGCGUUGUCCGGAAUUAUUGGGCGUAAAGCGCGCGCAGGCGGUUUCUUAAGUCUGAUGUGAAAGCCCCCGGCUCAACCGGGGAGGGUCAUUGGAAACUGGGGAACUUGAGUGCAGAAGAGGAGAGUGGAAUUCCACGUGUAGCGGUGAAAUGCGUAGAGAUGUGGAGGAACACCAGUGGCGAAGGCGACUCUCUGGUCUGUAACUGACGCUGAGGCGCGAAAGCGUGGGGAGCGAACAGGAUUAGAUACCCUGGUAGUCCACGCCGUAAACGAUGAGUGCUAAGUGUUAGAGGGUUUCCGCCCUUUAGUGCUGCAGCAAACGCAUUAAGCACUCCGCC